Molecule: transfer RNA, 75 nt
Filed under: Myxococcales bacterium
Lineage: Bacteria; Pseudomonadati; Myxococcota; Myxococcia; Myxococcales
Description: tRNA-Gly
Rfam family: tRNA
About the family: Transfer RNA (tRNA) molecules are approximately 80 nucleotides in length. Their secondary structure includes four short double-helical elements and three loops (D, anti-codon, and T loops).
Source: RNAcentral
GCGGUGGAAGCCAAUCGGUCAGGCACCAGCCUUCCAAGCUGACAACAGCGGGUUCGAAUCCCGUCCACCGCUCUA